GACGAACGCUGGCGGCGUGCUUAACACAUGCAAGUCGAACGGUUCAGAAGAGCUUGCUCUUUUGAUCAGUGGCGAACGGGUGAGUAACACGUGAGCAACCUACCCUUGACUCUGGGAUAACAGUUGGAAACAGCUGCUAAUACCGGAUACGACCUCGGCCGACAUCUGCUGAGGUGGAAAGUUCUGGCGGUCAAGGAUGGGCUCGCGGCCUAUCAGCUAGUUGGUGAGGUAACGGCUCACCAAGGCUUCGACGGGUAGCCGGCCUGAGAGGGCGACCGGCCACACUGGGACUGAGAUACGGCCCAGACUCCUACGGGAGGCAGCAGUGGGAAUAUUGCACAAUGGGCGAAAGCCUGAUGCAGCAACGCCGCGUGCGGGAUGACGGCCUUCGGGUUGUAAACCGCUUUCAGCUCCGACGAAGCGCAAGUGACGGUAGGAGCAGAAGAAGGACCGGCCAACUACGUGCCAGCAGCCGCGGUGAUACGUAGGGUCCGAGCGUUGUCCGGAAUUAUUGGGCGUAAAGGGCUUGUAGGCGGUUUGUCACGUCGGAAGUGAAAACUCAGGGCUCAACCCUGAGCCUGCUUCCGAUACGGGCAAACUAGAGGAAUGCAGGGGAGAAUGGAAUUCCUGGUGGAGCGGUGGAAUGCGCAGAUAUCAGGAGGAACACCAGUGGCGAAGGCGGUUCUCUGGGCAUUUCCUGACGCUGAGAAGCGAAAGCGUGGGGAGCAAACAGGCUUAGAUACCCUGGUAGUCCACGCCGUAAACGGUGGGCACUAGGUGUGGGACUCAUUCCACGAGUUCCGUGCCGUAGCUAACGCAUUAAGUGCCCCGCCUGGGGAGUACGGCCGCAAGGCUAAAACUCAAAGGAAUUGACGGGGGCCCGCACAAGCGGCGGAGCAUGCGGAUUAAUUCGAUGCAACGCGAAGAACCUUACCUGGGUUUGACAUAUGCCGGAAAGCUGCAGAGAUGUAGCCCCCGCAAGGUCGGUAUACAGGUGGUGCAUGGCUGUCGUCAGCUCCUCGUGUCGUGAGAUGUUGGGUUAAGUCCCGCAACGAGCGCAACCCUCGUCCUAUGUUGCCAGCGGGUAAUGCCGGGGACUCAUAGGAGACUGCCGGGGUCAACUCGGAGGAAGGUGGGGAUGACGUCAAGUCAUCAUGCCCCUUAAGUCCAGGGCUUCACGCAUGCUACAAUGGCUGGUACAAAGGGCUGCAAUACCGCAAGGUUGAGCGAAUCCCAAAAAGCCAGUCUCAGUUCGGAUUGGGGUCUGCAACUCGACCCCAUGAAGUCGGAGUCGCUAGUAAUCGCAGAUCAGCAACGCUGCGGUGAAUACGUUCCCGGGCCUUGUACACACCGCCCGUCAAGUCAUGAAAGUCGGUAACACCCGAAGCCGGUGGCCCAACCUUUUGGAGGGAGCCGUCGAAGGUGGGACUGGCGAUUAGGACUA
This 1444-nucleotide ribosomal RNA is filed under the name Microlunatus phosphovorus. RNAcentral describes it as "bacterial SSU rRNA". It matches the Rfam family "Bacterial small subunit ribosomal RNA". RNAcentral also lists the same sequence under 1 other name. Lineage: Bacteria; Bacillati; Actinomycetota; Actinomycetes; Propionibacteriales; Propionibacteriaceae. The record is from RNAcentral.